CAAAUUAUAGCAUAUAUUAAUGCCUUUUACUUACACUAAAAAGAAAAUAGCUAUUAUUUAAUUUGA
RNAcentral lists this transfer RNA (66 nucleotides) under Barbronia yunnanensis. RNAcentral describes it as "tRNA-Val". The record is from RNAcentral. Lineage: Eukaryota; Metazoa; Annelida; Clitellata; Hirudinida; Salifidae.